UUAUGUCCAAAAUAAAAAAUGAAAAGUCAGCAAAAAAAAGGAAAGUGAAGAGUCUAGAAAUUAUGUUGAACCCUAGCUACGCUGCUCAGCCUAAGAUGUCGCCAGUACAAUGAACUUGAGCUGAGGCCGCCAGUGUAAUCAUAAGAUUCAAUAGGAUCUUCGCUCACAGUUCCAGCAUACUCCAUUGGUGAUGGUCUUAAUUAAGGAUGCAACAACCUACAAUUUUCCAUACAGUGACCCUGAAGCUUGCACUCAAAAUAGUAUUUUAGCAAAUGAUCAUACUAUAUUUUAACUUGAAUGUUUCUACUUACUCCUGAUACUUUAUUACAAAAUUCCAUCUUAACCCA
This is a long non-coding RNA of Capsicum annuum, 347 nucleotides long. RefSeq lists it as uncharacterized. Lineage: Eukaryota; Viridiplantae; Streptophyta; Magnoliopsida; Solanales; Solanaceae. The record is from RefSeq and is a predicted model, not a curated record. The transcript has 2 exons.